GGGAGUCCACACCCAGCAGCAGCUGCACUCUGGGCAGGCCCUUGGGCCCAGGGCAUCCAUUCACUGCUGGGACCAAGCAGAGGGCGACUCCUGGGAUGUUUCAUUUAAUCCUCACAGCAACACAGUUGUCAGUUGAAACAGGUUCAGAGCUUCGGAGAGGCCACUCCAGCCCUGUUCUGAAAAACAAGCUUCUACUGCCGAAUCUGAGGAUGAAGGAGAGAGAAUUGCUCGUGGUCCUGUUUGAACUGCAUUGCACCUGUGGCCCUUGCUCUGGGCUCCAGAACUUUUGCCUAGAAAGCAGAGGUGUCUGAGAGCCGGGCUGGUCUGGGAGAGAGGCAGAGGAAAAGACACCAAGCACGCUCAGAGCCUGCACCAGCACACCUGCCUAGCAGUGGGUGUGGAAGACCCAAAGCUGCAAUCAAGACCCCUACCUCCACUGGCCAUGUUCUCAGCACCCACUGGUCUACGUUCCAGCCUCCUGGAGUCCCUCUGAGUGUGUCUGUGGCUGCAGCUGGACCCAGUUUUGAAUUCUUUUCAAGUUUCAUUUCAAAUGGGAUUUCAGAAUAAAAACGACUAGACCCUG
Symphalangus syndactylus (siamang) is the source of this 583-nucleotide long non-coding RNA. RefSeq lists it as uncharacterized. Lineage: Eukaryota; Metazoa; Chordata; Mammalia; Primates; Hylobatidae. The record is from RefSeq and is a predicted model, not a curated record.